This 440-nucleotide ribosomal RNA is filed under the name uncultured bacterium. RNAcentral describes it as "bacterial SSU rRNA". It matches the Rfam family "Bacterial small subunit ribosomal RNA", at positions 32 to 450 of the family's 1533-position model. The record is from RNAcentral.
AAUCAACGCUGGCGGCGUGCCUCAGACAUGCAAGUCGAACGCGAAAGGUUCCUUCGGGGACCGAGUAGAGUGGCGCACGGGUGAGUAACACGUAGGUAAUUUGCCUUUGGGUGGGGAAUAACUCAGGGAAACUUGAGCUAAUACCGCAUAAUGCAGCGGCUCGACAUCGAGACAGUUGUUAAAGCGGGGGAUUCGCAAGAACCUCGCGCCUAAAGAGAAGCCUGCGGCAGAUUAGCUAGUUGGUAAGGUAAUGGCUUACCAAGGCGACGAUCUGUAACCGGCCUGAGAGGGCGGUCGGUCACACUGACACUGACAUACGGGUCAGACUCCUACGGGAGGCAGCAGUCGGGAAUUUUGGGCAAUGGGCGAAAGCCUGACCCAGCAACGCCGCGUGAAGGAUGAAAUUUUCGGAAUGUAAACUUCGCAAGAACAGGAAGAAU